This 121-nucleotide ribosomal RNA is filed under the name Paenibacillus ginsengarvi. RNAcentral describes it as "Bacterial small subunit ribosomal RNA". It matches the Rfam family "Bacterial small subunit ribosomal RNA", at positions 1 to 132 of the family's 1533-position model. The record is from Rfam by way of RNAcentral. Lineage: Bacteria; Bacillati; Bacillota; Bacilli; Caryophanales; Paenibacillaceae.
UUUUUGGAGAGUUUGAUCCUGGCUCAGGACGAACGCUGGCGGCGUGCCUAAUACAUGCAAGUCGAGCGAAUCCUUCGGGGUUAGCGGCGGACGGGUGAGUAACACGUAGGCAACCUGCCCG